Molecule: long non-coding RNA, 246 nt
Filed under: Monodelphis domestica (gray short-tailed opossum)
Lineage: Eukaryota; Metazoa; Chordata; Mammalia; Didelphimorphia; Didelphidae
Description: lncRNA (ENSMODG00000034815.2)
Source: RNAcentral
AUGAUUUGCCCACUGUCACACAGAACACACUGUGACCUGUCCAAUGAAUGGGCCCUUUGUGCUCCUCUGGGGAAGGGCAACGUCAUCAGCCUCCUAGAGUCAGAAAAUGAAGUCCGGGUCUUUGGGGCCCAGGACUCUGCCCCACAUCCCAGAAAAGAAGGUGCCUGCUCAGCCCAGACCAGAGAGAGAGAAAGCAGUGUGGUGUAGGGGAAUAAAGUCCAGAUUGGGAGUCUGAAGGCUUGGGUU